AAUAUUGCGCAAUGGAGGGAACUCUGACGCAGCGACGCCGCGUGAGCGAUGAAGGUCUUCGGAUCGUAAAGCUCUGUCCUUGGGGAAGAAGAUCUUCGGAUUUGACGGUACCCAAGUAGGAAGCCCCGGCUAACUACGUGCCAGCAGCCGCGGUAAUACGUAGGGGGCAAGCGUUGUCCGGAAUUACUGGGCGUAAAGGGUACGUAGGCGGCUAUAUAAGUCAGGUGUGAAAUACCAGUGCUUAACACUGGAAUUGCAUUUGAAACUGUGUAGCUUGAGUGCAGGAGAGGAAAGUGGAAUUCCUAGUGUAGCGGUGAAAUGCGUAGAUAUUAGGAGGAAUACCAGUGGCGAAGGCGACUUUCUGGACUUUUUCUGACGCUGAGGAACGAAAGCAUGGGGAGCAAACA
This 407-nucleotide ribosomal RNA is filed under the name uncultured bacterium. RNAcentral describes it as "partial 16S ribosomal RNA". It matches the Rfam family "Bacterial small subunit ribosomal RNA", at positions 360 to 774 of the family's 1533-position model. The record is from RNAcentral.